AGCGAACGCUGGCGGUAGGCCUAACACAUGCAAGUCGAACGGCAGCACCGUAAGAGCUUGCUCUUACGGGUGUCGCGUGGCGGACGGGUGACGAAGACACCGGAUUCUACCUUUUCGGGGGGGAUAACGCAGGGAAAUUUACGCUAAUACCGCAUACGACCUCCGGGGGUAAGCCGGGGAUCUUCGGACCUUGCGCGAGGGAAUGAGCCGAUGUCGGAUUAGAUAGUUGGCGGGGUAAAGGCCCACCAAGGCGACGAUCCGUAGCUGGUCUGAGCGGGUCGUCCGCUACCCUGGCACUGAGACACGGUCCAGACUCCGGCGGUGGGCCGCAGUCGGGAAUAUUGGGCGAUGGAGGAGUGCCUGAUCCAGCCAUACCGCGGGAGUGAUGAAGGCCUUCGGGUGGGAGAGCCCUUAUGUUGGUAGGGUUGAACAGCUGGUUUAUCCGCGGUUGUAAUGACGGUACCCGGAGAAUAAGCACCGGCUAACUUCGUG
Molecule: ribosomal RNA, 492 nt
Filed under: uncultured bacterium
Lineage: Bacteria
Description: partial 16S ribosomal RNA
Rfam family: Bacterial small subunit ribosomal RNA
Source: RNAcentral